UCGUGCUAGAUGGGGAGGUAGCGGUGCCCUGUACCCGCAACCCGCUAUAGCGGGGUUGAAUUCCUGCCCAAGGCAUAAAGCUGUAGAAUCAGGGCCUUGAUAUGAAGACAAUGAAGAUUGGGUCUUGCGCAAUUCAAGGCUGUGAACCCCGUCAGGUCCGGAAGGAAGCAGCGGUAAGCAGUUAUCUGGAUGUGCCGCAGGAGUGCCUGGUCCGAGCCUUCUGUCAUUGUACCGUCCGUAGUUGUAUGUCGACGGCAGGUGCACGA
RNAcentral lists this signal recognition particle RNA (266 nucleotides) under Ruminiclostridium sp. Its description in RNAcentral is "signal recognition particle sRNA large type". It matches the Rfam family "Bacterial large signal recognition particle RNA". Rfam says of the family: The signal recognition particle (SRP) is a universally conserved ribonucleoprotein involved in the co-translational targeting of proteins to membranes. The record is from RNAcentral. Lineage: Bacteria; Bacillati; Bacillota; Clostridia; Eubacteriales; Oscillospiraceae.